GAUGAACGCUGGCGGCGUGCCUAAUACAUGCCAGUCGAGCGAACAGAUGAGGAGCUUGCUCCUCUGACGUUAGCGGCGGACGGGUGAGUAACACGUGGAUAACCUACCUAUAAGACUGGGAUAACUUCGGGAAACCGGAGCUAAUACCGGAUAAUAUAUUGAACCGCAUGGUUCAAUAGUGAAAGACGGUUUUGCUGUCACUUAUAGAUGGAUCCGCGCCGCAUUAGCUAGUUGGUAAGGUAACGGCUUACCAAGGCAACGAUGCGUAGCCGACCUGAGAGGGUGAUCGGCCACACUGGAACUGAGACACGGUCCAGGCUCCUACGGGAGGCAGCAGUAGGGAAUCUUCCGCAAUGGGCGAAAGCCUGACGGAGCAACGCCGCGUGAGUGAUGAAGGUCUUCGGAUCGUAAAACUCUGUUAUUAGGGAAGAACAAAUGUGUAAGUAACUAUGCACGUCUUGACGGUACCUAAUCAGAAAGCCACGGCUAACUACGU
Molecule: ribosomal RNA, 496 nt
Filed under: uncultured bacterium
Lineage: Bacteria
Description: partial 16S ribosomal RNA
Rfam family: Bacterial small subunit ribosomal RNA
Source: RNAcentral